Molecule: ribosomal RNA, 254 nt
Filed under: uncultured bacterium
Lineage: Bacteria
Description: partial 16S ribosomal RNA
Rfam family: Bacterial small subunit ribosomal RNA
Source: RNAcentral
UACAGAGGUCUCAAGCGUUGUUCGGAUUCAUUGGGCGUAAAGGGUUGCGUAGGCGGCGCGGUAAGUCGGGUGUGAAAUCUCGGAGCUUAACUCCGAAACUGCAUUCGAUACUGCCGUGCUUGAGGACUGGAGAGGAGACUGGAAUUUACGGUGUAGCGGUGAAAUGCGUAGAUAUCGUAAGGAAGACCAGUGGCGAAGGCGGGUCUCUGGACAGUUCCUGACGCUGAGGCACGAAGGCCAGGGGAGCAAACGGG